GGGUCCAAAUAACUGCGAACACCCCCUCAGUGCCGUCUAAAGGCUGGAAUCUGUUUGCGCAGAUAUUUCAACAGUGCCAGCUAGGGAAAAAAGGGGGGGACAGUUGGAAAAAUUGAAAAAAGGAGAUGAAAUCUUUCACUGGAGGAGCAUGGUGAGUCUUCGGAGAAGCGCGUGUGGUGACUAAUCACGGAAGAUGAUUCCCAUCUAUUAGGAAGCAUCAGAGGGGAAGCAGUUCUGGAAUGUUCCGUCAUAUAACCGGGAAGCCGUCGAGUUACUGAGCACCUACAUGAGACAAGUAGCAUUGGGGCGAUGCAAAUAUGCAUCCUUCUAAGAUCAGGGCAGAGGGUAGGCCAGCGGCAGCGGAGAGCCAUGAGCAUCCUUCGACAGGCACCCCCCGCGAGUGACUCGUCGGUGCGCUGUGCCAACGUACCGUCAGGGAAACCAAGGUGGUGCGGACAGCCAGAGAGAAGUUCCCACGUGAACCACUAGAUCUAUCUCCACGAAUGCUGGAAAAAAAUGGGAUGAGACAAUGGGCAUCAAUAAA
This is a long non-coding RNA of Brienomyrus brachyistius, 544 nucleotides long. RefSeq lists it as uncharacterized. The transcript has 3 exons. Lineage: Eukaryota; Metazoa; Chordata; Actinopteri; Osteoglossiformes; Mormyridae. The record is from RefSeq and is a predicted model, not a curated record.